RNAcentral lists this ribosomal RNA (1358 nucleotides) under metagenome. Its description in RNAcentral is "bacterial LSU rRNA". It matches the Rfam family "Bacterial large subunit ribosomal RNA", at positions 1551 to 2925 of the family's 2925-position model. The record is from RNAcentral.
AAAUGCUAGGAUGUGAUGCGGAGCGAAAUUUAGUAGCGAAGUAGCUGAUUUCACACUGUCGAGAAAAGUCUCUAUCGAGGUUAAAGGUGCCUGUACCGCAAACCGACACAGGUGGGUGAGGAGAGUAUCCUAAGGCCAGCCAGAGAACUGUUGUUAAGGAACUCGGCAAAAUGACCCCGUAACUUCGGGAGAAGGGGUGCCUGUCCUUGACAGGCCGCAGAGAAUAGGCCCAAGCGACUGUUUACCAAAAACACAGGUUUCUGCUAAGUCGCAAGACGAUGUAUAGGAGCUGACGCCUGCCCGGUGCUGGAAGGUUAAGGGGAUCUGUUAGAGCAAUCGAAGCAGUGAACUUAAGCCCCAGUAAACGGCGGCCGUAACAAUAACGGUCCUAAGGUAGCGAAAUUUCUUGUCGGGUAAGUUCCGACCCGCACGAAAGGCGUAACGAUUUGGGCACUGUCUCAACAACAGACUGGGUGAAAUUGUAAUACCGGUGAAGAUGCCGGUUACCUGCGACAGGACGGAAAGACCCCAUGGAGCUUUACUGUAGCUUGACAUUGGGUCUUGGUACAACAUGUACAGGAUAGGUGGGAGACUAUGAAGCCGGAACGCCAGUUUCGGUGGAGUCAUCCUUGGGAUACCACCCUUGUAGUACUGGGACUCUAACCAUAGGCCAUGAAUCUGGUCUUGGGACACUGUCAGGUGGGCAGUUUGACUGGGGCGGUCGCCUCCUAAAAAGUAACGGAGGCGCUCAAAGGUUCUCUCAGUACGGUCGGAAAUCGUACGUAGAGUGUAAAGGCACAAGAGAGCUUGAUUGCAAGACAUACAGGUCGAGCAAGGACGAAAGUCGGACUUAGUGAUCCGGUGGUUCCGCAUGGAAGGGCCAUCGCUCAACGGAUAAAAGCUACCCUGGGGAUAACAGGCUUAUCUCCCCCAAGAGUCCACAUCGACGGGGAGGUUUGGCACCUCGAUGUCGGCUCAUCACAUCCUGGGGCUGUAGUAGGUCCCAAGGGUUGGGCUGUUCGCCCAUUAAAGUGGUACGCGAGCUGGGUUCAGAACGUCGUGAGACAGUUCGGUCCCUAUCCGUCGCAGGCGUAGGAAAUUUGAGGAGACCUGUCCUUAGUACGAGAGGACCGGGGUGGACGCACCGCUGGUGUACCAGUUGUUCUGCCAAGGGCAUAGCUGGGUAGCUAAGUGCGGAAUGGAUAAGCGCUGAAAGCAUCUAAGCGCGAAGCCGACUUCAAGAUAAGAUUUCCCACCGUAAGGGUAAGACCCCAGGAAGACUACCUGGUUGAUAGGUCGGAGGUGGAAGUGCAGUAAUGUAUGUAGCUUACCGAUACUAAUAGGUCGAGGACUUGACC